AGUAGUUAGGAUUUAUCAUUUAUAAUAACAAUGGAGUCAGAAAGUUGAGAAAAAGGAAGAGGGGCACAACAGUUUCUACACUGUUUCACGUUCACUGCUUGAGAAAAGAGUAUCUGUGCUUCAGAUUUUAAUCAUUUGGAGAUCUUACGGAAGGGCAAGACCCUUACAAAUGAGCUUGCACUUGAAUUCUUCGAUGGAGAAAUUGUUCUAGAGGCUCAUACAUGAUCUCAUCUCUAGAGUUUGAUAGCAGAUCUUGAUCCAAGGGUGAGCACUCCGUCUCCAGACUUCCAUGGGUCAUCUUAUUUGCUCUUGUCCAUCUUUCGGGCAAUGAAACAUCUUUAUUUAUUUUAUUUUGGGAUAUCUCUUUAGACAUGAUCUUUGUUAGUAGUUCUUGUACGAUGACUUUCGGGUCUUGUAAAUUUUAGUAAGUAGUUUGUUGACUUCCGUAUUAAUAAUGAUUAGCUCUAGAUUAUUGUUA
Long non-coding RNA from Capsicum annuum, 478 nucleotides. RefSeq lists it as uncharacterized. The record is from RefSeq and is a predicted model, not a curated record. The transcript is spliced from 3 exons. Lineage: Eukaryota; Viridiplantae; Streptophyta; Magnoliopsida; Solanales; Solanaceae.